GACAGAAGGAAGUGGAGAGGGUCAGCUCCCAUGACAGAUGCAAGGAGACUGUCCACGGGUGGCUGCACGCAGAUACACCCAGGUCCUUGACCCCGGUUCUCCUGGGCUUCUAUCGGAGGGCAAGAAGCCCAUUGGCCUCUUUCUGGAGGGCGGAGCAGAGGGCUGCCCCGGAAGGAGUGGAAAACGAGCUUCUGAGACGCUGCCUAGUGGAGCCAGCCCUCACCCCAUUCCGGGAUAAAGAUCAGUGGGGUUGAGGUGGAGAGGGACCCCACAGUUCCCGCACCUGCCGUUGUGACAUCACUGGCAGCCUGAGGAGUGGAGGUUUGGGGCUCCCUCCACUUCGGGGUCCCUACUGGCCAGCCCCUGACAGCACCAGAGGCCUGACUUCAAGGUAUUUGCUUCCCCGCAGCUUUCCUUCACCUUCUAAAUCUUACCCACACCCAAUCUACUUUCCCUUGUCCUUCAGUCUCCUCCAGGCUCCAGCUCCAUCGACAGUGAGCUGGGGAUCAAAGUACCUGCCUCUCAGGGUAGAUGUGAAGACACAGGCUGUGCUGAAAGUGACCAGCCUUCCAUUUAGCUCCUGCCCUCCACCUGGGAAAGUUCACAGGAUCCUGGGCUGAGAGGUACCUGCUCUGAACCACUCAGCUGGAUGCAAAGAACAGAGAUAUUUCCCGGCCUUCAGAAUGGGGGCAUGCACAGGAGUCACUAAGCUCCUCCUAGGGGAGAGAAUCUUGGACAUCUUUCUCAAAGAAUAGCACAGCACAUGUGAAUUGUGAAGCAGUGCAAUGGUACAUGGUACCUUUGAAGAACUGCAAAAUGUUCUAUGAGGCCAGGGAAAAAGAAGGGCAAGGUGGGUGGCAAGAAAUGAGUCUGCAGAGGUGGGCAGGGGCCAAAUCACAAAAGAUAUUGGGUACUACUCUAGGGUAUUAGAACUUUACUCUGAAAGCUAUGGGUAGGAGGAGAACCAGAAGUGUAGCCAGGACACUGUGGUG
This is a long non-coding RNA of Orcinus orca (killer whale), 992 nucleotides long. RefSeq lists it as uncharacterized. The transcript is spliced from 4 exons. NCBI's taxonomy places the organism in Eukaryota, Metazoa, Chordata, Mammalia, Artiodactyla, Delphinidae. The record is from RefSeq and is a predicted model, not a curated record.